AGUUCCACCGCCUCCAUCGCCGGUUGUGUUCGCAAGAGGCGACCUCAGUUUCCCAGGUGGCGCUGCGGCAGCCAGUCCAAAGUCGGACUUUCAAAACCAACCCGAAGUUUUGAACCCGGCGGCGGCAGUUGUCACUGGCACAGGUUUGGCGUGGUGGCGCCAGUGUACUACUUCUGGGGAGGUCUCAACCAGGUUCUGGCACCUUCAAUCCCCACCUGAUAUCUGCGUAUCAUCACGGUAUCCCGCUUUUCCCCCAGUUCCCCAAGAGCGUCCUUCCUUUCCCUAGUCACAGGAUCGCAGUUUUGGUCUGAUAGUGCAUCCACCUACCCCAGUGUUGCAUCCCCACUUCCCUCUUUCCAUCUAACGUGGUGGCCUUUCCUGGGGAUACCUUGGGUAUCCCCCGCUAGGAGAGCAAGCACAAGACACCAGGGAGCCAGACCCCUGCCGCUCCCCUGCCACAGGAUAUGAAUACGAGCCUCAGCUGGUUUGAGCAGCUGGAUGUGCUUCUCAACGCUACUGAUGGAAAUGUGGUCCGGAAUAAGCAGUGGCUGUAUCCUCUUGGGGUCUCCACAGAGCUCAUUGGCCUGUGCAUCUGUUUCUUCUGUAGCAGUGGCUGUAUCUUCUUGGGGUCUCCACCGCAGAAUAGCACUGCUGUCACUCCUGCAGUGCUGUGGGAGGAGUCAGAGAUUAUGCAGAAGGAAUUGAAGUUGCUGCAGUACCAGUUGAGCCAGCACCAGGAGCUGCUGCUGAAACAGCUGGCUGAGGGACGACAGGCUCAGGUUGGCAGUUGGAAGGAUCUCCAUUCAUGUUGUCCAAUCUAAGCUGCCUCUGCCCACUACCUUCACCAUGUCUGUUUCUUCAUCCAGCUCUUAAUUCAGUCUUCUGGACAGUAACAGUAGCUGGGAACUUUUAUGGAAGCCAGAUCCCCAGAGGAGCACCCUUUCUAACCUGGAGCCCAGCAUCUUUCAGCUCCAUGCCCAGAGUCUUAAGCAAGAGGACCUAUUCCUUUGGGGCCCCAAAAUGCUCCUGAAUGACCUGUAAGGACUCGUUAAGAAUAGUAGGAUGAAGGCUUCUUUGCCCACCCUCCCCUCCAAGGCCCUGUUUCUGGGCUGCCCGCCCCUACCUUCUUGAAGUAGCUAUUAUCUGUCUUAUCUACUGAGGCUUUUCACUGCCUGCCCAUCCUUGCCCCCCAUCUCAGCUCACUGCAACCUCCGCCUCCCAGGUUCAAGCAAUUGUCCUGCCUCAGCCUCCCAAGUAGCUGGGAUUACAGGUGUGCGCUAAUUUUUGUAUUUUUAGUAGAGAUGGGGUUUCACCAUGUUGGCCAGUCUGGUCUUGAACUUCUGACCUCAAGUGAUCUGCCCGCCUCGCCCUCCCAAAGUGCUGGGAUUACAGUUGUGAGCCACCAUGCCCAGCCUAUAGCUGUACCUUCUGAGUGCAAGCUCAGUUGAACUUGGAAAGUAAUGGGAGUUCCCAUUCUGGUGAGUAGAAUGAGGUAGGACACUGCUCUAGGGCAGUAGUGCUGGGGGAUGCAAAGGAGGAUGAGAUAUUCUGGUGGGACUUGGAUCUGGACAGUAGGAGGCUACCUUUCCUCAUCUCCAGCUUCUGCCUUUUUUUUUUUUUUUUUUGAGGCAAGGUCUUACUCAGUUGCCCAGGCUGGAGUGCAGUGGCAUGAUCUUGGCUCACUGCAGCCUCCGCUUCCUGUACUAAAGCAAUCCUCCCACCUUAGCCCCCCAAGUAAUAAUAUAUGGGACUACAGGCACACGCUAUCAUGCCUGGCUAAUUUUUAAAUAUUUUUUGUAGAGACAGGUUUUCACCAUGUUGCCCAGGCUGGUCUCGAACUCCUGGGCUCAACUGAUCCACCAACUUUGGCCUCCCAAAGUGUUCAGAUUACAGGUGUGAGCUGCUACCAUGCCUAGCCCCAGCUUCUACUGCUUGAGGCUCUCUUUGGCAUCUCCACACAUCAUCCUUAGCAGCCCAGACUGCAUUUCUGUAGCAGCCUCUUCCCUGGUCUCUUCUUUCAGUCUCUCUGCCUCUAAUCCAGUGGCUUUAAGAAUUUUUUGGCUGUGACUUCCAGUAAGAAAUACAAUUUACAUUGUGACCUAGUAAAUAUGUGUGUAGAUUUAUUAACUGAAAUAAAAAUGUUAUGAUUUAAUUUUUAUCCUUAGUGGGAGUGAUACACUGAUAUUUUCUAUUAUAUUUCAUUAAAAAAUGCCUUGUGACUAA
RNA transcript from Homo sapiens (human), 2223 nucleotides. It is a transcript of the gene named CCDC163 homolog, with no coding region annotated. The transcript is spliced from 6 exons. Lineage: Eukaryota; Metazoa; Chordata; Mammalia; Primates; Hominidae. The record is from RefSeq and is marked validated.